UGCCAGCAGCCGCGGUAAUACGGAGGGUGCAAGCGUUAUCCGGAAUCACUGGGCGUAAAGGGUCCGCAGGCUGUUUGUUAAGUCAGGGGUGAAAUCCUACCGCUCAACGGUAGAACUGCCUUUGAUACUGGCAAACUUGAGUUAUUGUGAAGUAGUUAGAAUGUGUAGUGUAGCGGUGAAAUGCAUAGAUAUACACAGAAUACCAAUUGCGAAGGCAGAUUACUAACAAUUAACUGACGCUGAGGGACGAAAGCGUGGGUAGCGAACGGGAUUAGAUA
RNAcentral lists this ribosomal RNA (278 nucleotides) under uncultured bacterium. RNAcentral's name for it is "partial 16S ribosomal RNA". It matches the Rfam family "Bacterial small subunit ribosomal RNA", at positions 506 to 784 of the family's 1533-position model. The record is from RNAcentral.